RNAcentral lists this ribosomal RNA (555 nucleotides) under uncultured Planctomycetota bacterium. Its description in RNAcentral is "bacterial SSU rRNA". It matches the Rfam family "Bacterial small subunit ribosomal RNA", at positions 32 to 621 of the family's 1533-position model. The record is from RNAcentral. Lineage: Bacteria; Pseudomonadati; Planctomycetota.
AACGCUGGCGGCAUGGCUAAAACAUGCAAGUCGAGCGCGAAAGUCCCUUCGGGGGCGAGUAGAGCGGCGAAAGGACUAGUAAUGCGUUUCUAUGUACCCCAUGGUCGGGGAUAGCCCGGGGAAACCCGGAUUAAUACCCGACGCCCUCUUCGGAGGAAAGAUUUAUCGCCAUGGGAGCAGGGAACGUCCUAUCAGGUAGUUGGUGAGGUAAUAGCUCACCAAGCCUUAGACGGGUAGCGGGUGAGAGAGCAUGACCCGCAGUAUCGGGACUGAGACACUGCCCGGACUCCUACGGGAGGCUGCAGUAACGAAUAUUCCGCAAUGCACGAAAGUGUGACGGAGCAAUGCCGCGUGCAGGAUGAAUCCCCUCGGGGUGUAAACUGCUGUCAGUGACUAGAAAAAAAAUGAUCAGUCGCAAAGGAAGGACCGGCUAAUCUCGUGCCAGCAGCCGCGGUAAUACGAGAGGUCCGAGCGUUACGCGGAAUUACUGGGCUUAAAGCGUACGUAGGCGGAUCUACAGGUAUCCUGUGAAAGCCCACGGCUCAACCGUGGAAU